Molecule: ribosomal RNA, 253 nt
Filed under: uncultured bacterium
Lineage: Bacteria
Description: partial 16S ribosomal RNA
Rfam family: Bacterial small subunit ribosomal RNA
Source: RNAcentral
UACAGAGGGGGCAAGCGUUGUUCGGAAUUACUGGGCGUAAAGGGCGCGUAGGCGGCCUUCUAAGUCAGACGUGAAAUCCCCCGGCUUAACCUGGGAACUGCGUCUGAUACUGGGAGGCUUGAGUAUGGGAGAGGGAUGUAGAAUUCCAGGUGUAGCGGUGAAAUGCGUAGAUAUCUGGAGGAAUACCGGUGGCGAAGGCGGCAUCCUGGACCAUAACUGACGCUGAGGCGCGAAAGCUAGGGGAGCAAACGGG